This 432-nucleotide long non-coding RNA is filed under the name Bos taurus (domestic cattle). RNAcentral describes it as "long non-coding RNA NONBTAT015110". Lineage: Eukaryota; Metazoa; Chordata; Mammalia; Artiodactyla; Bovidae. The record is from RNAcentral.
UAUCCAAAUCUGGCUACUUCUUAUUAGUAUUUUUAUAAUAAAGUGCUCUGCCUUAAUAUUUGACAGAGGUGCAAAACUGGUUCUGUGGUAACUGACUUUUGAGCCCUGCUAUCAUGUAUACUCUGGCCAGAACUGGUAAAGAUAACUGUCUCUGUGGUUCAGAACUGUUUUUAUUUUGGUAAAUGAUGGCUAGAAAGAAAAUGCUAAACUGAUGGUAAUGUAAUAUUCCUUCUUUUGACAUUUAUAAAUAUUUGUGUGCUAGGGAUUGUUUUUAAAGUAUUGAACAUAACAUCUAACCCUGCUUUCAAAUUACUGAUGAAUAGAGGUUGUUUUUUAGUAUGGAUUAUCUGAAACUAAUUUUAAAUCCAACUUGAAUUCUUCAUAUUUAGUUUUAAAAAGAUAUUUUAAAUUUUACAGAAUUCUUUGGGGUAC